Long non-coding RNA from Dendrobium catenatum, 470 nucleotides. RefSeq lists it as uncharacterized. The record is from RefSeq and is a predicted model, not a curated record. NCBI's taxonomy places the organism in Eukaryota, Viridiplantae, Streptophyta, Magnoliopsida, Asparagales, Orchidaceae. The transcript has 2 exons.
UUUGCCUUUCAUCUUCUCUUUUCGUCGUUGUUCGGCUUCGGUGCUUCGUAGGUGUAUAGAUUGCACGCGUCAAUACUACGGCUCCUUCGUGGUUGUUCAACUUCACUCCUUCGAUGACUUUCCCUUCCUGUCGGAUCAGAAGUUAGGACAUUUUUGAUCGGAUGCAACAACGGGAGCUCGUUGGCUUUGAAGAGGCGGCGACAACGACGAUGGCGGCGAGGGCGACGACGUGAUGCAGCCAAGGAACAAUGAGGCUGGAUUAGAUCCGGCUAUCAUUUCUUCAUUUCCGAUGCUUCGCCGUCAUAAGGCGACGCAGUUGGUGGAGGGGAGACGCGUAUCAAGACCAGGACGAAGGUGAUUUUAGUGGCUCUCCGUGCCAAAACAAAGAUGAAUGUAGUGGCUGCAAAGAUAAAAAUUUGUAAGCUGGGUGCUUCUCAAUAAAUAAAUGCUUAGUUUCGUUUGUUAAAAAA